CUCCGGGAAGAGGAAGGAGCUUGCUGGUCUCGGGCGCCCGCAUCUCUCUUCACCCGGGAACGUGCUGGGACGGGCCGUGGGCGGCCUGGGCUCGGGCCCCAGUCUUCCCCUCCCCGCUCCGAAUCUCCGGGAAUCCUAGUGUCACUCGAGGAUGCUGGGCGGGAGGAACUCUGGGUUGACCGCUCCGUUAGGAAACGGCCCUGAAAUCCAGAUCCAGGCGUCCCGGGCAGGGGUCAGAGACUCAGGGCGCCCGGAAGCUGCCGCACGCCUUGCUGAGGAGUCCAGUGCUACGUUACUUGAAGGACCCUAGCCUUCCGGGCCCCCAAACGUGGCACAUGUGUGAAGAAUAACUAAGCUCACCCCUUGCCUAGCUCUGCAGCCACGUUUUUCAGGACUGAAGCUCACAGGACCUGCCGUGCAGGACAAGAAGGUCUUGGGCCCCACCCGUGCACAGUACAAGAAAGUGUUGGAAAGUCCUCCCGGGUCAGUAAGCCUGGACGUGGCAGUUUGGUGUGUACUGAGUUCGCUUCCAUCUGGCCGCUGCACAUUGGGCAGGAAAAGGAGGGGCGGUGACUCAGUCACGGACAUAGCAGGUGUGUGGGAAAGGCAAACUUCCCCAUCUCCACUCUGCUUGUGGGCACAUAGCCCACUCCCCCCUCUAAACCCUGACUGACAUGAUAGUAGAGACAAGACUCAAACUCUGGAUUCGGUGCCCUUAACCAAGAGUGAAAGACCAAUGAGAUGACCAGUUCAUGCCCAUUGCCAACUGUACUGGAUUAAGAGACUCCUGGAGAGGUGACCGGACCACAGGGAUGCUGUACUCAUCAUCAAGGGAGUGUUCGUAGCUGAAUGUGCUGUCAAGGGCUGGGGCCCAGUUGAAGUAGUGUUGAGAGAUUGAACCCAGGGCUUCGUGCAUCCUAGGCAAGGCAGUGUAUUAUUCUCCCAGGACUUCAGUAAUAAAGUACCACAAACUUGGGUGUAAAACUGCCUGAUGGCCCAGACCAUCC
This 1007-nucleotide long non-coding RNA is filed under the name Heterocephalus glaber (naked mole-rat). Its description in RNAcentral is "lncRNA (ENSHGLG00000050188.1)". Lineage: Eukaryota; Metazoa; Chordata; Mammalia; Rodentia; Bathyergidae. The record is from RNAcentral.